Molecule: transfer RNA, 74 nt
Filed under: Coniophora puteana
Lineage: Eukaryota; Fungi; Basidiomycota; Agaricomycetes; Boletales; Coniophoraceae
Also listed under: 1 other name
Description: tRNA-Pro
Source: RNAcentral
AGGGUAGAAGGCAAACUGGAUAGCCACUUUUUUUGGGUAAAAGACCUUAGCGUGUUCGAGUCGCGCCUACCCUA